ACGCUCGACACCUACGGGAGCAGCAGUGAGGAAUAUUGGUCAAUGGGCGCUAGCCUGAACCAGCCAAGUAGCGUGAAGGAUGAAGGCUCUAUGGGUCGUAAACUUCUUUUAUAUAAGAAUAAAGUGCAGUAUGUAUACUGUUUUGUAUGUAUUAUAUGAAUAAGGAUCGGCUAACUCCGUGCCACAGCCGCGGUAAUCUGAGCGGGCUGGCAAGGC
RNAcentral lists this ribosomal RNA (216 nucleotides) under uncultured bacterium. RNAcentral describes it as "partial 16S ribosomal RNA". It matches the Rfam family "Bacterial small subunit ribosomal RNA", at positions 328 to 539 of the family's 1533-position model. The record is from RNAcentral.